RNAcentral lists this ribosomal RNA (249 nucleotides) under uncultured bacterium. Its description in RNAcentral is "partial 16S ribosomal RNA". It matches the Rfam family "Bacterial small subunit ribosomal RNA", at positions 796 to 1041 of the family's 1533-position model. The record is from RNAcentral.
CACGCCCUAAACGAUGUCAACUAGGUGUUGGGUGGGUAAAACCAUUUAGUACCGGAGCUAACGCGUGAAGUUGACCGCCUGGGGAGUACGGCCGCAAGGUUAAAACUCAAAGGAAUUGACGGGGACCCGCACAAGCGGUGGAUGAUGUGGAUUAAUUCGAUGCAACGCGAAAAACCUUACCUACCCUUGACAUGUCUGGAAGCCCUUAGAGAUUUGGGUGUGCCCGAAAGGGAGCCAGAACACAGGUGC